This 608-nucleotide long non-coding RNA is filed under the name Salmo salar (Atlantic salmon). RNAcentral's name for it is "lncRNA (ENSSSAG00000113190.1)". Lineage: Eukaryota; Metazoa; Chordata; Actinopteri; Salmoniformes; Salmonidae. The record is from RNAcentral.
GAGAAAGCAAAGGAGACCCAGCAGAAAGAGAAGAAGAGCACCCAUCCAGCUGUGGCGGCCCUGCAGCUGUUCACUCUCUUCUGCUGUGGUGGGAAAGUCAAGCUGAGGAAGACUCGUCCCUCUCAGAACAGACAGAGUAGAAAGGACCAGAACAAAGAUAAUGCAUCUGAUACUGGCUCGGACUUGUCUGGAGGUGAUGUUACAACCAAAAGGGAAAAUCGAAGGACACCCCGGCAAGUGAAGACCCCUGUGGAGGAAAUUUACAUAAGACCUGACUCUCCGACUCUACCACGUGCCCACAGCUCCCUCUCUCAGUUUUCCCUGGCAAGGAACCUGCCCAUCCACCUGUUGGAGUGGCAGCUACCUGGAGUCCCUCUGACCACCUCGUCUAUGGCAACUAGGACAGAGAGAAAGCCAUCCUCUACCAACACUUCGACACACGCACAGAUGGAAACACAGACAACAGAUAUGAACACAGACUCACAGACCACUGCCACCUCUCAGAGCCAGAUCUCCACGGUCUCAUCGGAGACCAUGAUAGAUGUUCACACGUCAGACUCCAUUACCCAGACCUCCACUCUUGACAUGGCCCUGACACCUGACAGCAC